CAGUCGCCGCGGGAAUACGUAGGGUGCGAGCGUUAAUCGGAAUUACUGGGCGUAAAGCGUGCGCAGGCGGUUGUGUAAGACAGGUGUGAAAUCCCCGGGCUUAACCUGGGAACUGCGCUUGUGACUGCACAGCUAGAGUAUGGCAGAGGGGGGUGGAAUUCCACGUGUAGCAGUGAAAUGCGUAGAGAUGUGGAGGAACACCGAUGGCGAAGGCAGCCCCCUGGGCCAAUACUGACGCUCAUGCACGAAAGCUAGGGGAGCAAAUGGGAUUAGAUACCCCCGUAGUCCCUGUCUCUUAUAC
Molecule: ribosomal RNA, 301 nt
Filed under: uncultured bacterium
Lineage: Bacteria
Description: partial 16S ribosomal RNA
Rfam family: Bacterial small subunit ribosomal RNA
Source: RNAcentral